UGGGGAAUUUUGGACAAUGGGCGCAAGCCUGAUCCAGCCAUGCCGCGUGCAGGAUGAAGGCCUUCGGGUUGUAAACUGCUUUUGUACGGAACGAAAAGACUCCUUCUAAUAAAGGGGGUCCAUGACGGUACCGUAAGAAUAAGCACCGGCUAACUACGUGCCAGCAGCCGCGGUAAUACGUAGGGUGCAAGCGUUAAUCGGAAUUACUGGGCGUAAAGCGUGCGCAGGCGGUUAUAUAAGACAGAUGUGAAAUCCCCUGGCUCAACCUGGGAACUGCAUUUGUGACUGUAGAGCUAGAGUACGGCAGAGGGGGAUGGAAUUCCGCGUGUAGCAGUGAAAUGCGUAGAUAUGCGGAGGAACACCGAUGGCGAAGGCAAUCCCCUGGGCCUGUACUGACGCUCAUGCACGAAAGCGUGGGGAGCAAACA
Molecule: ribosomal RNA, 427 nt
Filed under: uncultured prokaryote
Description: bacterial SSU rRNA
Rfam family: Bacterial small subunit ribosomal RNA
Source: RNAcentral